RNAcentral lists this ribosomal RNA (425 nucleotides) under Nosema sp. RNAcentral describes it as "SSU rRNA". It matches the Rfam family "Microsporidia small subunit ribosomal RNA", at positions 48 to 471 of the family's 1311-position model. Lineage: Eukaryota; Fungi; Microsporidia; Nosematidae. The record is from RNAcentral.
CCAUGCAUGUUUUUGACAUUUGAAAAAUGGACUGCUCAGUAAUACUCACUUUAUUUUAUGUAAAUUUUUAAUUAACUACGUUAAAGUGUAGAUAAGAUGUUUACAGUAAGAGUGAGACCUAUCAGCUAGUUGUUAAGGUAAUGGCUUAACAAGGCUGUGACGGGUAACGGUAUUACUUUGUAAUAUUCCGGAGAAGGAGCCUGAGAGACGGCUACUAAGUCUAAGGAUUGCAGCAGGGGCGAAACUUGACCUAUGGAUUUUAUCUGAGGCAGUUAUGGGAAGUAAUAUUAUAUUGUUUCAUAUUUUAAAAGUAUAUGAGGUGAUUAAUUGGAGGGCAAAUCAAGUGCCAGCAGCCGCGGUAAUACUUGUUCCAAGAGUGUGUAUGAUGAUUGAUGCAGUUAAAAAGUCCGUAGUUUAUUUUUUUA